GUUAAUGAAAGAGCUGCACAUUCAGUGAAACUGACUUCAGAUUCACAUUCAUACUUACCCAAAUUGUUUUGUUUCCUUGUGCUUCCCCCAAACAAAUCCAGGUAAAAUCCAGGAUGGCAAAAAGGAAGUGGAAGAUGUAUUCAGGGCCCAGGACUGUACCAAGUGUGAUAAAGUACAGAGGAUGGAUUGGCUGUUUUAAAGUUUCCAGAGUGGAAGAGAUGUCCUACCCCACACCCAGUAUGAGUAAAUGGGUUGACUGUACUUCUGCCUCACCCAGAAAACAUCACUGGUCAUAUUUUAAUAAUCCAAACCCAAACCUUUGAUUGGAUUCUGGCAUCCUUCUGCUUUCACUGCCUUCAGUCUUCACGUGAACGCACACGCAAAGCUGAACUCCCCAGGCUGAACGCUGGUCGAUGGUGGCAGCAGUUAACAGGUCUGCUGUGACAGCCGCCGAGGGGAAGCACCCACUAAUAGAGUCAGCUAAUUAUGGAGAUGGCACAUUUGUCAGAAAUGCGUCCCCCUCGCAACCCUGGCGCAACCCUCCCACCGUCCUCUGCAGAUGCCCUGUGUUUUCAGGCAGGAGGGAGGGGUGCAGACAGACACACGCACCAUGUUGUAAUUAGCUAGCAGGGAGUGCUCGGCGACCUGUGAGGGGAGUCGAAUGGCGGCCGCUGCUCACGGGUAUUGUUUUGGCUCCAGACACAACAGAAGCUCUGCUGAUGGGGUGUGUGUGUGUGCAAUAAAAUGGAAAGGUAGAGAGUGGGAAUGCAAGUACAAAGGUACAAUGAAAGGCUUUUCGCACCACUUUUCCGUGAUGUGGUUGUGCAACCUUGUCAGACUUCAGCAAUGUUUUGAUUGUAACGUCUGUACAGACCUUUCUAGAUUAGAGUCACUGCAUUUGUUUUAAUCACGAAAGAUCGCUUGUGUGUGGUUUUGUUUUAAAGUGUGACUGUUAAAAAGAACUAAAACAAAAUAUAGCCUUUUAUUGUGUAGACCCCCACAUGGGACCUCUGGGGGUCGCCAGCAGUGGGUAGCACCAGGAGGGUGGAGAU
Oreochromis aureus is the source of this 1052-nucleotide long non-coding RNA. Lineage: Eukaryota; Metazoa; Chordata; Actinopteri; Cichliformes; Cichlidae. The record is from Ensembl.